Non-coding RNA from Taeniopygia guttata (zebra finch), 2541 nucleotides. The record is from RefSeq and is a predicted model, not a curated record. NCBI's taxonomy places the organism in Eukaryota, Metazoa, Chordata, Aves, Passeriformes, Estrildidae.
UUGCUGCUAAACCAGUGGUUAGGUAAUUUCCAAACAACACUUUUAAGCUUUCCCCUAUGCUAUAUUUGUCCUUGCUGAGCCCUGAAGUUCCUUGGGAUGGUUCAAAGGAGGAUCACAAAAGCAGAACUGCAGAAGAGUUACAAGUAGUAGAUUUCCAAAGGGUGACGUCCAUCAGCAAGUCCUGACUCCUCCUAGAGCAUCAUGCCAUUAUAGAGGUUGAGAAGUUGUAAAGAAUCUGGUGGAAACAUCUCAAGUGAACUGAAAUGCCUUUGUUACUGCUGGAAGCUUGAGUGCAGAUUUGGAGAAAGAAGCUUCUUAACGAGUAUAGUGUUGGACCACUUCCACGCUCCAUAAAUACUCAGACAUGCUCUCCCACUUUUCCUUGUGAAGGAUGAUAUUGUGGAGACUGUAAAACAUAAGCUUUCUUCAGGAAACAAAAAAGGAGUGAUUUUUUUUUCUGAAAAGAGAAAUCAGAGUAUUCAUGUAGGUUUCUCUGAGGCUAGGAAAAGUCUAGAAGUGAGCCAAGUGGGAAUUUUAACUAUGUGAAAAUUGUUUAUGAGAACCUCAGGACCCCCCUGAGGAGUGAAAAGAUCCAAAAAUGAACUAACAGGAGGAAGAGCAGUUUGUAGUUAGUCCUGGUUUUGAUGUUCACAUGGCACUGGGGAGAUGAGGGGAGGUCUAACCCAAACCCUUCUAACAUCUCCUUAGUAAAGAUGUCCUUCAGAGCAGUGAGAGGACAUUUUGGUGGUUGUAGUUCACUCUUCUCAUAUGAGGAUCAUACAAAGGCUCUUAACUCUGUCCAUUUCAGCCAUUUUGCCAUAGCCUUGCCUUUCACAUUUGGUGCAUAAUACACACAUGGGGAUGUAAACUGAAUUCACAAAAAUCCAUAAAGAACCAAGUUUCUUUUGGAGCAAGGAGAAUGCUAAGCCAUCAUUUCUUCUGUUUCUGUUCAAAAUUGCUAGAGUUUUAACAGAAACUGAAUACAAUAUGCUUAAAUUUAUUUUUUGUAGAGUGGUGUUGUCAUCUUAGAUUCUCUAUGCAUUUCUUUUCUCAGGGGAGUGAAACCAGAUUUUUUUUUUUCAACUUUAUGACUAUUUUGUUCAACUCUAUCCAGUACUAAAAUGGAUGGUAGAAAAAAAAAAAAAAAAAACAAAAACCAACCAACUGACCAACCAACCAACCAAAAACAGCAAACAAAAAAACCCACAAACCACCCAAACAUACAAAAAAACCCAACAAAAAACUCACUCCCCUCCUCAAAAAAACCAAAUCCAAAAGUGAGCUAAUACCUCUUUUAAAGCAAAUACAUUUUAUUUGACUGUUAUAUUCUGAAUGGAAGCAAAAAAUCAUAAAAGUAAUGAUCCUUUUCCAAAGAAGUGAGAAAUGGUUGAAGUUAAGAAAACAAUAUGUUACUCUUGUGUACUUAGAGUUCUGUAUGAGCAGUAAUUUAAAAAGACAAUGUAUCCUUGUUUAAAAAAGCAAUCUAUUUCCAACUUCUAUGUGUGGCAGUCAAGCAAAAAGGAUUGUCACCUUUUCACAAUUUUAAAACACUGUUUCAUUGCAUCCAGCUUUUGUUUAAAUGCCAACCCUUCUCCUCAAGUGCUGCAUUAUUAUUCUCUGAACAAAAGUGUGUUGCUCAAGUUCCCAAAUAAUUUUUUUGUCCCGUUUCCUUGUGAUUAUCAUAUUAAUUUCCACUUAUUACUUUCAGAAUGCACUAAAUUGAAAAGUUUAAUAAAAGUUUAAGUGACACCUUGUUCUUGUCUUCCAACAGACAUCUGUACUGUACUGUAGAGAGAAAUUAACAGGUAUUCUAUAAGGUGAGGAAAGCAGUCUGAUUUUCCUGUUUUUUUCUCUGGGUUUAGGUUUGUUUUGAGUCCUUUCUCUUCUGGGGCAAACCAAUGAAUGCUAGCACCUUGGGGAAAACAUACCAGGUUUAAUCCAGAGAUGAAAUAUUUUCCAGCUUAAAAAUAGUAAUAAUAACUUUUUUUCUGUAAAUAUAUAUUAUGAAGUGGGACUAGGUGUUAAUUGAUACUGAAGACUAAUGAGCAGUGGUGAAUCAAUCCAAUAGUAACCUGCUUGCUGCAGUUAUUUGUUAAAUUUUUCAUAUCAGUUUUGUCACCUUAAACUUUUUAAAAAAUAGGUUACAGGUGUAAAGUCAUCCAUUAUUUGAUUUUGCAAAAACUUUGUAAAACAGGUUUAUGAAGCUUUCUUCUUAUCUCUUUCCUAAGGUGCAGUAGUGAUGUAUUUGCUCCCAUGGUCUUCAUAUUUGGACAGCUUUGCAGUCCUACAGGGUGAAAUAAAAAUAGCAACUCCCAAGUAUUUUAUUAAUAGGAAAUGGGAAAACUUCUACAGAGGCUUAAACCUUGCCCAGUGAAGCAAAGCAAACUCUUACAGCUCUUCUGCCCUACAUCCUAAGCAUAGCACUCAUUUAGCUAUCUACAGCCUGGCGACCACCAGCUACCAAAUAAUCUACCAUGACUCUUUCAUUUCUGCUGCUUGCAGCAGCACCAGGUUCCUUGCAAUUCCCAGAAUAAAUAUAGG